AGCUGUGGCUACUUGCCUACACUCCAUGAUUACCAGCUACUCUCAGAGUUCGUGCUUCCUUCCUUCUCUGAGUAUUUCAACAGAUGCAUGAAAUAACAAUGUCCACCUGGUAAACCCAGAGGGCUGGAGCAGGAACAGCAGUAUUAUAGCCAGCAAGAACACAGCUACCACAUGUUGUUAAGUGCCUGGUGACUUAUUUCCAAAUAAAACUGGACCCAGUUCCUAGUUCUUCUCCAAGCUUUGCAUCUAUUAUCGAGAAUGGAUGCCCGCUGAACAAUGCAAAGAAGAACAGAACAUACAGCCCACAGACAAAUUAUUCUGCAAGGAGAAGAACAGACUGGGUACAUUAGAGCUGAGAACUACGCCACAGCAUUCAGAAAAGAGUGAAAGCAGUGCAGCAGAGCUGAAUCACAUGAAAAGGAGGUUAUACCCGUUCAGAUUUUGCAAAGAUUCCGUAAGGACUCCAAACUCCUCUGACUCUUGGUUCCCUUUGUUGACAUGCCCUGCUGUUGCUCCAUCCUAAGGGAUGUCUACAUUUCAGGUCAAAAGAAAUCUCAUUCCCAUUAUCCAUUUGACCUCUGUAUGUCUCAUUUUCUGUAAGUCUCUUCCCAAAGUUAUAUUCACUGUACUUGCUGAUUCAAUUUAGCUGUAAACCCCAUUAAAAUUAAUGAACACAAA
Pogona vitticeps (central bearded dragon) is the source of this 678-nucleotide non-coding RNA. The record is from RefSeq and is a predicted model, not a curated record. Lineage: Eukaryota; Metazoa; Chordata; Lepidosauria; Squamata; Agamidae.